AGACGUGCCGGGUGCUAUACAUGCAGUCGAACGAGUUCUCGUUGAUGAUCGGUGCUUGCACCGAGAUUCAACAUGGAACGAGUGGCGGACGGGUGAGUAACACGUGGGUAACCUGCCCUUAAGUGGGGGAUAACAUUUGGAAACAGAUGCUAAUACCGCAUAGAUCCAAGAACCGCAUGGUUCUUGGCUGAAAGAUGGCGUAAGCUAUCGCUUUUGGAUGGACCCGCGGCGUAUUAGCUAGUUGGUGAGGUAAUGGCUCACCAAGGCGAUGAUACGUAGCCGAACUGAGAGGUUGAUCGGCCACAUUGGGACUGAGACACGGCCCCAAACUCCUACGGGAGGCAGCAGUAGGGAAUCUUCCACCAUGGACGCCAAGUCUGAUGGAGCAACGCCGCGGUGAGUUGAGAAGGCUUUCGGGUCGUAAAACUCUGUUGUUGGAGAAGAAUGGUCGGCAGAGUAACUGUUGUCGGCGUGACGGUAUCCAACCAGAAAGGCCACGGCUAACUACGUGCCAGCAGCCGCGGUAAUACGUAGGUGGCAAGCGUUAUCCGGAUUUAUUGGGCGUAAAGCGAGCGCAGGCGGUUUUUUAAGUCUGAUGUGAAAGCCCUCGGCUUAACCGAGGAAGCGCAUCGGAAACUGGGAAACUUGAGUGCAGAAGAGGACAGUGGAACUCCAUGUGUAGCGGUGAAAUGCGUAGAUAUAUGGAAGAACACCAGUGGCGAAGGCGGCUGUCUGGUCUGUAACUGACGCUGAGGCUCGAAAGCAUGGGUAGCGAACAGGAUUAGAUACCCUGGUAGUCCAUGCCGUAAACGAUGAAUGCUAGGUGUUGGAGGGUUUCCGCCCUUCAGUGCCGCAGCUAACGCAUUAAGCAUUCCGCCUGGGGAGUACGACCGCAAGGUUGAAACUCAAAGGAAUUGACGGGGGCCCGCACAAGCGGUGGAGCAUGUGGUUUAAUUCGAAGCAACGCGAAGAACCUUACCAGGUCUUGACAUCUUUUGAUCACCUGAGAGAUCAGGUUUCCCCUUCGGGGGCAAAAUGACAGGUGGUGCAUGGUUGUCGUCAGCUCGUGUCGUGAGAUGUUGGGUUAAGUCCCGCAACGAGCGCAACCCUUAUGACUAGUUGCCAGCAUUUAGUUGGGCACUCUAGUAAGACUGCCGGUGACAAACCGGAGGAAGGUGGGGAUGACGUCAAAUCAUCAUGCCCCUUAUGACCUGGGCUACACACGUGCUACAAUGGAUGGUACAACGAGUUGCGAGACCGCGAGGUCAAGCUAAUCUCUUAAAGCCAUUCUCAGUUCGGACUGUAGGCUGCAACUCGCCUACACGAAGUCGGAAUCGCUAGUAAUCGCGGAUCAGCACGCCGCGGUGAAUACGUUCCCGGGCCUUGUACACACCGCCCGUCACACCAUGAGAGUUUGUAACACCCGAAGCCGGUGGCGUAACCCUUUUAGGGAGCGAGCCGUCUAAGGUGGGACAAAUGAUUAGGGUGAAGUCGUAACAAGUAGCCGUGAUCCC
RNAcentral lists this ribosomal RNA (1514 nucleotides) under Lacticaseibacillus casei. Its description in RNAcentral is "bacterial SSU rRNA". It matches the Rfam family "Bacterial small subunit ribosomal RNA". The record is from RNAcentral. Lineage: Bacteria; Bacillati; Bacillota; Bacilli; Lactobacillales; Lactobacillaceae.